UUGUUGCAGUUAAAAAGCUCGUAGUUGAACUUUAGGCAAGGCGGCCUGGUCACCCACUGGGUGUACUGGGCUCGCCGCGCCUCACCUUCGGGGAACUAGUCGUGCUUCGGUGCGCUAGGGAACCGAGCCUUACUUUGAAGAAAUUAGAGUGUUUAAAGCAGGCUUACGCUUGAAUACGCCAGCAUGGAAUAACAAGAUAGGACUUUGGUUCUAUUUUGUUGGUUUGAGGACCAAAGUAAUGAUUAAUAGGGCCAGUCGGGGGCAUUAGUAUUCUAUAGUCAGAGGUGAAAUUCUUGGAUUUAUAGAAGACUAACUAAUGCGAAAGCAUUUGCCAAGGAUGUUUUCAUUAAUCAAGAACGAAAGUUAGGGGAUCGAAGACGAUUAGAUACCGUCGUAGUCUUAACCAUAAACUAUGCCGACUAGGGAUCGGUGGAUGUCGCUUUUGACUCCAUCGGCACCUUACGAGAAAUCAAAGUUUUUGGGUUCUGGGGGGAGUAUGGUCGCAAGGCUGAAACUUAAAGGAAUUGACGGAAGGGCACCACCAGGAGUGGAGCCUGCGGCUUAAUUUGACUCAACACGGGAAAACUCACCAGGUCCGGACAUGGGAAGGAUUGACAGAUUGAGAGCUCU
RNAcentral lists this ribosomal RNA (630 nucleotides) under uncultured eukaryote. RNAcentral describes it as "SSU rRNA". It matches the Rfam family "Eukaryotic small subunit ribosomal RNA", at positions 610 to 1258 of the family's 1831-position model. The record is from RNAcentral.